GAUGAACGCUGGCGGCGUGCCUAAUACAUGCAAGUCGAGCGAACAGAUAAGGAGCUUGCCCCUUUGACGUUAGCGGCGGACGGGUGAGUAACACGUGGGUAACCUACCUAUAAGACUGGGAUAACUUCGGGAAACCGGAGCUAACACCGGAUAAUAUUUCGAACCGCAGGGUUCGUUAGUGAAAGAUGGUUUUGCUAUCACUUAUAGAUGGAACCGCGCCGGAUUGGCAAAGUGGUAAGGUAACGGCUUACCAAGGCGACGAUACGUAGCCGACCUGGGAGGGUGAUCGGCCACCAUUGAACUGAGACACGGUCCAGACUCCUACGGGAGGCAGCAGUAGGGAAUCUUCCGCAAUGGGCGGAAGCCUGACGGAGCAACGCCGCGUGAGUGAUGAAGGUCUUCGGAUCGUAAAACUCUGUUAUUAGGGAAGAACAGACGUGUAAUUAACUGUGCACGGCUUGACGGUACCUAAUCAGAAAGCCACGGCUAACUACGUG
RNAcentral lists this ribosomal RNA (497 nucleotides) under uncultured bacterium. Its description in RNAcentral is "partial 16S ribosomal RNA". It matches the Rfam family "Bacterial small subunit ribosomal RNA", at positions 28 to 507 of the family's 1533-position model. The record is from RNAcentral.